Molecule: non-coding RNA, 61 nt
Filed under: Leptolyngbya sp.
Lineage: Bacteria; Bacillati; Cyanobacteriota; Cyanophyceae; Leptolyngbyales; Leptolyngbyaceae
Description: Glutamine-I sequence
Rfam family: Glutamine riboswitch aptamer (glnA leader)
Source: RNAcentral
AACGUUCAUCCUUGGUAUGUGCCAAGGACGGAAGUAAGGAGAUUUCCUGAAGGAACGCGCC